GGACAGUUUCAUGAUUUCUAGUCUAUUGUUUAUUAUACAUAGCUACAAAUUAAUAAAAUCAUCUUUAUUUGUACAAAAGUACAUGUAUUUUACAGUGACAAAAAGAUUAAAUGACUAUUGGUCCCAUCAAACUUGAAAACUGAGAAAAGUUAUUAUAAAUCCAUAAAUCGAUCUGCUCAGACAGAUUUUUUUUGUAAGGAACUCAAAUUUUGCAGGGCUACCCACAGUUAGUAAAAUCUCAGUAUAUAAUGCCUUGUUAUAGAUAGGCAAAAUGCAAUGGCAUGAUUUCAAAAGAUCUUAGAUUGGGGAAAAAACUGUUCAUUGAAAAAAAAUAAGAUAUUUUCCAGGUAAAAAAGUGAUACUUAAAAGGUCAAGGCUACUAUAAACAAAUGAUAUAUAAAACCAACAGGAUUUCAAAAAAUGAGGAAAAAAAAUGGCUAGGGGCAUCUGUUUGGAUAUAUGAGAUGCAUAAAUAAUCAGCCUUGUCCUAUUGGAAUCACAAAUCUAAAUAGGAUGCAUAGAAAAGUGCCACAUGACCUGCAAGUUAAAGAACCCAUGUAAAAUUCUUUGAGGAGGGUGUAUU
RNAcentral lists this long non-coding RNA (583 nucleotides) under Mytilus galloprovincialis (Mediterranean mussel). Lineage: Eukaryota; Metazoa; Mollusca; Bivalvia; Mytilida; Mytilidae. The record is from RNAcentral.